RNA transcript from Mobula hypostoma (lesser devil ray), 9497 nucleotides. It is a transcript of the gene named tubulin beta chain-like, with no coding region annotated. The record is from RefSeq and is a predicted model, not a curated record. NCBI's taxonomy places the organism in Eukaryota, Metazoa, Chordata, Chondrichthyes, Myliobatiformes, Myliobatidae. The transcript has 5 exons.
AGAAUCCAGGCAAACAGCUGUUGCUGACGAAGUAGUGGGCAGUUGGGACUUUAAAUCUUCCAGAGUUCAAGCACCAAGCUGGGCAACAUGCGUGAAAUAGUGCACUUUCAGAUUGGCCAAUGUGGUAACCAAGUAGGGGGCAAGUUCUGGGAGGUGAUUAGUCAAGAACAUGGAAUCAACUCCAAAGGGAAUUAUGAAGGAGAUUCAGACCUCCAACUUGAGAGAGUCAAUGUAUACUUCAAUGAAGCACAUGGUAACAAGUAUGUGCCGAGGGCAGUACUGGUGGACUUGGAGCCUGGGACAAUGGAUAGUGUCCGGUCUGGCUACAUCGGUCAGCUCUUCAGACCGGAUAACUUCAUCUAUGGAAACUCAGGGGCUGGCAACAACUGGGCCAAAGGCCAUUACACAGAAGGUGCCGAGCUGGUGGAAAACGUGCUGGAUGUCAUGAGGCAUGAGUGCGAGAGCUGUGACUGCCUCCAAGGCUUCCAGCUGAUACACUCACUGGGAGGAGGCACUGGCUCAGGCAUGGGCACUCUCAUCAUGAGCAAAAUCCGAGAGGAAUACCCCGAUAGAAUCAUGAACAGCUUCAGCGUGAUGCCUUCACCGAAGGUCUCUGACACUGUGGUUGAACCGUACAAUGCCACCUUGUCCAUCCAUCAGCUGAUAGAGAACACCGAUGCAACCUUCUGCAUCGACAACGAGGCCUUGUACGACAUUUGUUUCCGGACCUUGAAGCUCCCCACACCAACCUACGGUGACUUGAACCAUUUGGUCUCCAUGACGAUGAGCGGUGUCACCACCUCACUACGUUUCCCAGGUCAACUCAAUGCAGACCUGAGGAAGCUGGCAGUCAAUAUGAUUCCUUUUCCUCGGCUGCAUUUCUUCAUGCCUGGUUUUGCCCCACUGACGUCCCGUGGAAGCCAAGACUACCGCUCGCUGACUGUUCCAGAACUCACUCAGCAGAUGUUCGACGCCAGGAACAUGAUGGCAGCCUGUGAUCCGCGUCACGGCAGGUACAUGACUGUGGCAGGGAUCUUCAGAGGCAAGAUGUCCACCAAGGAGGUGGAUGAUCAGAUGUUAGCUGUCCAAACCAAGAACAGCAAUCACUUUGUGGAGUGGAUCCCCAAUAAUGUCAAGGUGGCUGUGUGUGACAUUCCACCAAAGGGACUCAAAAUGUCUUCCACUUUCAUAGGGAACAACACUGCCAUCCAAGAGCUCUUCAGGCGCAUUAGUGAGCAGUUCUCCGCCAUGUUUAGAAGGAAGGCUUUUCUCCAUUGGUACAUAGGAGAAGGUAUGGAUGAGAUGGAGUUCACAGAAGCCGAAUGCAAUAUGAAUGAUUUGGUGUCUGAGUACCAACAGUACCAAGAUGCUACAGUUGAGGUUGAAGAUACGGAGUAUGAAGAGGAAGAAGCCAACUCUGCACAAGUUUGAGUAAUUAGGAGAACUGUGCACCUUGCCAAAGGAAUAAUGAAUGUAACAGCAAAAGAAGUGAAGCAAACAUCUAAAGCAACAAUGAUCUUAUUCUAAUUGGAAAUAUUAGGAAUGAACCUGGAAACUGAAAUCACCACUAUACCUUCAUAGAUUUAUAAUUUCAUACUUUACCUAUGCAUCAUUAGCAACCAAACUUCAGAAGCAUUGCUUGGAAAUAUUAGAUGUUUAUCUACUGAACACAAACAUAGGCAACCGUCGUAAAUUAGUGAGGAAAAAUAAAACACAUCAUAGGUAAGCUUCCACUAGGGGAUUACUCUUAGAAUAUUUUAAAUAAUCUGGGUGGUCAAAGGUGGAGGAAUGGAGGGAUGCAUUACAUAAUAUUGCAUUUUUUUUAAUGCAGUGAUGGAUAUUCACAAUAAGAGCACGUGCCUCCAGCAGUAUGAAUUAGACAUGAGGAUGGUUGUGCAACAUAUAUUUUUGAGAGAAAAAAUAUAAUUUCUGGACUGAACCAAAGUGGAAACCAAAUUUGCUACAGACAUUAUCCAAUGCUUUUUUUUUAAAAAAAACAUUCAAAUGUUUUAAUUGGCAAAUAUUAAAGCUUAUCUGACAGAAUCUGGUCAUACUUGAAAUGUUGCACAACCUAAGCUCCCACACAUCACUCCUCACACUUUCCUGUGAUGCUUUAAGAUAGAGAAGAAAAGCGAAAAUCAAAUUUUAAAAACUGCAGAUGAUGCAUACACCCAGUUGGUCUGGCGGUAUCCAUGGAAUGAGAAACAGUUAACAUUCAGAUCCUGAAGACGUCAAAUGUCAACUGUUUCUCCCUCCACUGAAUUCUGCUGACUUGCUGAGCGUUUCCAGCAUCUUCUGCUUUAUUUUUCCAGACCUUUACCUAGAAUCCGAAACCUACUCACUACUCGCAAAGGUCCAGAGCAGCAACACACCCCACAGUCAAAAGUAGGUUCAGAGGUAACCUGACAAAAAUGUGCGCUAUUAUGUGAUGCUUACUAUUUUGCAAGACCAUUUUAUUACGUCUAAUAAAAAUGCUUCAUUUAGUUGCUGAGCAUGCUGGUGAAUAACCAAAAUUUGCCUGUUUUUUAAGUGGCCUUGCUUGCAAUAUUUUAUCCAACCAGACUUCUGUAUUUAUAAGUAGUCACAGUGAUGUGAAUGGUAAUGGAUGGUGUCAUUACAGGGAUAAUUAUUGGUAUGAGUGAUGAUAAUAGCAGUGCAAAUAUUGUUGGGAGUGGUACUCUUGUCCAAUGAAACUUAAUUCAAAUGCCUCCAAUCAACUGCAAGGAUCACAGAGUCUUCAGUCAGACAAAAAUAUAAAUCGCAUCUCCCCUCAGCCAUCUCCGCACUGCUCCAACUAAGUCCAACAAACUUGGCAGACAUCAACUCAUCUUCCAUCUGGCAAAUUGCAGUCCUCAGGACUUCAUGCUGAAAUUAACAAUUUAAGAUAACUUAAGAUAUAUUUUUUCUAUCCAGUUAUGACUGUCUCUUACAUUUUCAACAUACCUAUUUUACUCUUGUUUCCAACUAUCAGCUUUUAAAUUAAUUGUUACCUUCACAACUUUGGUCUGCAUUCCAUCAUGGAUAUUGCCUUUGUCCUCUCCACAACUUAAAAAGCAUAUUUGCUUUCUUAUUUAUUCAGUCUGGACAAAAGAUCCUUAAUCUGAAAGGCUGACUUUAUUUCCCUCCCUUGGGAUGGUACCCAGCCUGAUAAGCGUUUGCAAUAUUUUGUUUAGAUUCCCAGCAGUUUUUAUUUUGCUCAAAUUAUUGCUUAGAUUCCUUAAUGUAUAAAUAUUAAACAUGAAAAACAGUUGCGCAGAGCCGGCCUACACACAACUGCAAAGAGGCAGUCUCACUUUCUUUAUGGUACUUUACCAAUGCUAAGAAAAUAAUAAAAGAAUUCUUGUUAGUGGAUUAUAGGAUCUCCCACUGAUUUCAUCGAAGAGGGAGAUGGCAAGUGUCCGGGAACAUCAUCAGCUCAGUUCCCCUCUAGCUUGCAUCCCGGCAAGGGGCGUACAUUGCAAUACUUCAUUUUCACUAAACUUCACCUCAGAACUCCCUAAAUGACAGCUUCACCCAGUCUCCAUUGGUUCAAAAAAUCCCACAAAAGCCUCAUGGGCAAUCACAUGUACAGACUGACUGGAAUAAAUAGUUUUCAAAAUUAUUAUCAAUAAACAAACUAAUAAUCACUUUAAGAUGUAAAAUAAUUUUGCCUUCUUAAGGCCUUUGGAAGGACAAACCAAGGUAGAACAUACAGGGUUAAUGGUAAGGCACUGGGGAGUGCAGUAGAACAAAGGGAUCUGGGAAUACAGAUACAAAAUUCCCUAAAAGUGGCGUCACAGGUAGAUAGGGUCAUAAGGAGAGCUUCUGGUACAUUGGCCUUUAUUAAUCAAAGUAUUGAGUAUAAGAGCUGGAAUGUUAUGAGGUUGUAUAAGGCAUUGGUGAGGCUGAAUCCGGAGUAUUGUGUUCAGUUUUGGUCACCACAUUACAGGAAGGAUAUUAAUAAGGUUGAAAGAGUGCAGAGAAGGUUUACAAGGAUGUUGCCAGGACUUGAGAAACUCAGUUACAGAGAAAGGUUGAAUAGGUUAGGACUUUAUUCCCUGGAGCGUAGAAGAAUGAGGGGAGAUUUGAUAGAGGUAUAUAAAAUUAUGAUGGGUAUAGAUAGAGUGAAUGCAAGCAGGCUUUUUCCACUGAGGCAAGGGGAGAAAAAAACCAGAGGACAUUGGUUAAGGGUGAAGGGGGAAAAGUUUAAAGGGAACAUUGGGGGGGGGGCUUCUUCACACAGGGUGUGGGAGUGUGGAAUGAGCUGCCAGACGAGGUGGUAAAUGCGGCUUCUUUUUUAACAUUUAAGAAUAAAUUGGAUAGAUAAAUGGAUGGGAGGCGUAUGGAGGGAUAUGGUCCAUGUGCAGGUCAGUGGGACUAGGCAUAAAAUGAUUUAGCACAGCUAAGAAGGGCCAAAAGGCCUGUUUCUGUGCUGUAGUUUUUCUAUGGUUUCUAAAGUAAAAGAUGCAGGAGAAACCCAGAUUCUGACAUCAUUGGUCUAUGUAGACUUCAUAAAUCUGGGGUAUGACAGAGUAAAUGUUUAAUCACUCCCAAAUAGUUCUUGCGCUCUCUGGCUGGAAAUUACAGUGUCAACAGACUUUGAAAAAUUAGUCUCAAUUUUCCACACCCUCAACACAAAAAGUCUUGUACACUCCAAGUUCCUAAUGCCAUUUACAGCACUCCUAUCCCACUGCUUUCAUUACCAAUUAAAACAUUUUCAGCAUUUUAUAUUUUGGCAGAAAAUAAUUGCUUAAUUGUAGCAAAUGCCUUCACGGGAAAACUGAGCAAGCACAUGGCAAAUGAACAGAUGGUGUAUGGAUGGUAUUGUUGAAUGUACAGGGAGUUCAUUUAAAGCAUUGACAUAUUUGCUUUGGUUGGUUUGUGCUGUAACUUCUGUGCCUAACUUCCAUGCCAUAAGUGUGCUUAAUUCAGUUUAUGCCAUUGCACAAGAUACAGAAUGUCACAAUGGAGUUUUGUUUACUCUUGUUUUUAAACAUGAAUAUCAAUAAAUGAGCAUCUGUAAUCUUUGUUGUAAAAAUAUGUAAAGCAACCAAAGGUUGGACUAUAUAAUAAUGAAGCAUAUAUUCUAUCGGUUCUUCACUGAUAAGACUGGUGUUUGUGUUCAUGAGCUAAUAACACAACACCCAUGGACUAAGGAGCCAGAUUAAGCACAAAUUCAAAUCCAAGGCUGUUUUUAAUUUACCUCUAUCCCCAACAAGGUCUGGUCACUUGCAGUUCAAUGCAAUUGACAUUCAACCAAUGACGAAAGCAAGCUAGCAAGGCAUUUAGUUGUAGUAAUGACUGACCUUAAAGUGAACAGGAGGUCGUCAUUUGGCCUUGCUUUCAUGCUGCACCAUUCAGUAAGAUCACCACAACUUUUCUGCAUCACAUUCUGUAAUGUCCUUAAUAUCCCAAACCCUAGCAAUCUCACCAGUCCCUUUGGACUGGCAAUUCAAAGGUUCACUACCCCUUGGUGAGGGAAUCCCCCUCACCUGUUCUGACUGGCUGACCUCUUUGAGACUGAUCCCUAGUUUUCCCUGGCUGUGAUAUCUUGACCACCACCAAUGCAUCAACCCAGUGAAGAUAUACCUCACAGGACAAUCUCUCCCAUCCCAGGUGUUCAUCUCUCUUUUACAAGCAUUUUGCCAUAGAUCAGGAGACUAUGUGUGCACGAUACUCUAGGUGUGGUCUCACUUGAGCACGACUUCUCUACUCAUUAAAAUCCUCUCGGAAAGGAAUAAGCUUUGGCAGCAACAUAAAUUGUGAUCACCAGGAAGGUCAACCUUGUAUAAAUUGACUUUGAAGAACAAGUCAUUAUGAAUGUCAAAUGUGCAAUAUCAAGGCUCUUUGUCAAGGUCAACAGAUGGCCAUUUAAUCACAAAGAUACCCACUCCAAGAAGCAAACUAUAUGCUGGGACAAUGCUCAUCAACUGUGGCUAGAAGCACAUGCUGGCUUUUCAGCAGAGCCAUUGAUGUGCAAUGGAGAAUGGUCAACCUGUGCCUUCCUGAAGUACACAACCAUCUUAACUGCAUUGAGACUCAGGUUGUUGUUCUCACACCGAUUGACAAGCCUCUCUACCUCCUCUCUGUAUGCCAACUCAAUAAUGUUGUUGGUGAACUCUGAAUGAAAAAUUAUUCAUUCAGACAUAAUUUAUUAUAUCUAAUCCAUUGGAUCUUGUAAUUUGAAAACACCCCCAUAUCACUCCUCAAUGACCCAAGAAGUACAUUCCAAGCUUCUCCUGCAAAUCGUCAAUUUCAAUCUUUUACCCUACGGAUUAUUUGGUGAAAUGUGCUGGACCUAUUUCAAGUUGCCUGACUUUUAAAUGCUUCCAGAUCCACGUAAGGCCCCAUACAUAAUAACACUCAGUUAAGGCAUCUUUUUUUUUUGCAGUCUAUUUAUUCACUACAUUUUGAAGUUAAUUGAGUGCCUAAUACUGAUAUCAUGUAUCUCUAGGUUACAAUGCAAAAGCUGAAGUUAGAUUAAUUAAUGUUCUGCAAGUGACUCAGUGUUCCACAAGGAUCAGACCGACCCAGCAAUGAGUGAGAUGAUGCAACACUUGGAAACCAUGAAUCAAAUACCAAGCAUUCCUCAAUCCAAGAUGAAACAAGUGAACUCAGUACACCUUUCAUGAAAUGACAAACGUUCAUGAAUUCAAUUACCUAUUUGUCAAGAGCCCUAUACAAGAUUCAAAUCAAUUUUGUUGAAUCUCGUAUGAUUAACCUUCAGAAUGACCUCAGACACACCAUCAGGAAAAUAUUGUUUUACCUGCAGUAUUGCAUUAAGUCUCUGCAAUCACAUUUUUAAAGUUUAUUACUUUGAAUAGCAGAAAGUCUCUUCUAGCAUUUACAUAGAGCCUAUAAAAAUGAUUCACCCUACCCUUGGAAGUUUUCCUUUUUUAUUGAAUCACAGUGGAUUUAAUUUGGCUUUUCUGACGCUGAUUAACAUAAAAAGACACUUUCAUGUCAAAGUGAAAACAGAUCUCUAUAAAGUCAUCUAAAUUAAUAACAAAUAUUAAAAAUAAUUGAUUGCACAAGUAUUCACCCCCCCCCCUUUAAUAUGGCACACCAAAUCAUCACUGGUGCGGCCAAUUGGUUUUAGAAGUCACAUACUGAGUUAAAUGGAGAUGUUUUUGGAGACCUGUGUGCAGUCAAGGUGUUUCAAUUGAUCAUAGUAAAGAUACACCUGUAUCUGUAAGGUCUAAUGCUAGUGAGUCAGUAUCAAACUACACUAUGAAGACAAAAGAACACUCCAAGCAACUCCAUGAAAAGGUUAUUGAAAAGCACGUCAGGAGAUGUAUACAAGAAAAAUCUUCCUUGGAGUACAGUUAAGUCAAUCAUCAAGAAAAUGAAAAGAAUAUGGUACAGCUGUAAAUCUGCAUAGAGUAGGACAUCCUCAAAAACCUGAGUGACCGUGCAAGAAGGGGACUAGUGAGGGAGGUCACCAAGUGACCCAUAACAACUCUGGAGGAGUUACAAGCUUCAGAGGCUGAGCCGGGAGAGGUUGCACAGACAACUGUUGCCCAGGUGCUUCAUCAGUUGCAGCUUUAUGGGAGAGUGGCAAAGAGAAAGCCACUGUUGAAAAAACAAAUGAAAUCUUGGCUAGAGUUUGCUAAAAGGCAUGUAGGAGACUCUGAAGUCAGCUGGAAGAAGGUUCUAUGGUCUGAUGAAACUAAAAUUGAGCUUUUUGGUCUUCAGACUAAAUGCUGUUUGGCAUAAGCCAAACACAUCAAAAACACACCAUUCCUACCAUGAGCAUGUUGGUGGCUACAUCAUGCUGCAGGGAUGUUUCACUGCAACAGGCCCUGGAAGGCUUGUGACGGUAGAGGGUAAAACAAAUGCAACAAAGUACAGGGAAAUCCUGGAGGAAAACCUGAUGCAGUCUGCAAGAAAACUGUGACAUGGGAGAAGACUUGUUUUCCCAGCAAGACAAUGACCCCAAGCAUAAAUCCAACGCUACACAGGAAUGGCUUAAAAACAAAAUAAUGUCCUGGAGUGGCUAAGUCAGAGUCCAAACCUCAAUCCAAUUGAGAAUUUGCGGCUGGACUUGAAAAGGGCUGUUCACUCACGAUCCUCAUGCAACCUGUCAAGGCUUGAGCAGUUUUAUAAAGAAGAAUGGGGGAAAAAUUGCGUGUCCAGAUGUGCAAAGCUGAUCGAGACCUAUCCACACAGACUCAAGGCUGUAAUUGCUGUCAAAGGUCCAUCUACUAAAUACUGACUUCAAGGAUGUGAAUAUUUAUGCAAUCAAUUAUUUUGUGUUUUAUAUUUGUACUUAAUUUAAUCACUUUGUAGAGAUUGUUUUUCACUUUGACACAAUGGAAUCUUUUUCUGUUGAUCAGUGUCAAACCCGUUGUGAUUCAAUGCUGUAAAACAAUAAAACAUGAAAAUUUCCAGGGGGAUGAAUACUUUUUAUAGACACUGUAACACAGAGGAAAAAUUCUUUACAACUAUGUAAAAAUAGGUUGCUUUUAAGCUGCUAGUUUCAAAACAGUGUAGUCAUAGGGAAUCUUUUUAGCAGGUUAUGAGGCCCUCUGUUGGUCAGAGUCAACCAAGGAUAUUGCAUCCUAGUUGUCUAUGUGAUACAUAAGCCAGGGCAACAUGAGAGCAAGCUUUUGUAUAUGCAACAGGUCUCCCCUUUCCACAUAGCUGAUGAAAUUAAAUGAAUGGCAGACACCAAUACAGUUAGGCACCAGCAGCAUCACAGAAUUUGCCAGUCAGCUUUAAACUCAACGUACAACUACCUUUGGGACUUCAGAUCCCGCCCCCCCCCUCAGGGUUUACUCCCUAAUCCUUCCCCAUGAGAGGGGAAAACAGCUGAAAGAUAGUGGAGGUUUGUGAUCAGAGUUUUCCUUCUCCUAGAUGAACUGCCAACCAUUGCUGACGAGCCUGGAUCUGCCCAAAGCGACUGAUUUUAAGGUGCCAGUAACCCACUUUCGCCUCUCGUCCUGCAAGUAGGAACAGUUCCACUGACUAGAGGCUAAGCCACACAUGAAGGCCAGGAGCUGGACCUGGUUGUCAGAGAAGACACAUGCUAUUAAGAGCUUAUCCCCACCACCUCCCCAGCCAAGAGAACCUUAAGGAAAAGUAAUUUGUUCGUAUGUUAACAAACUGAUUAUAACAACAGCUGGAAGCCAUCUCCAACUCCCGUACUGUCAGAACCAGCAACGAAUGAGAUGAUGGAAAAUAUGAAAACUAUGCACCAAACGUCACAGAUUUACAAUCAUCUAACUUCACAACAAAAAAAGGACCCAGAAACUGCCUACAAACUGAUACAAACAGCAAUAUGAAAUUCAGAUCUCUCUCAACGGUGCAUUAAAAAUGAAUGCACUGAUCAAAAUCAGCCACUUUAGGGGGUACUAAUGACAACCAAUCUAUGAAUCAAGACAUUGGACCAUUGAUUUUCUGGUUUUCUUUCCUAUAUAAAAUUAAUUUACAUUAUCAUUAUUCAUUACAUUUUUGGGGUGGGAAAGAAGAUGCCCCAUUUGGUAUCCCAUUGCCCCAGUAUGAAUAUGGUCCUUGCC